This is a long non-coding RNA of Vicia villosa (hairy vetch), 533 nucleotides long. RefSeq lists it as uncharacterized. The transcript is spliced from 3 exons. The record is from RefSeq and is a predicted model, not a curated record. NCBI's taxonomy places the organism in Eukaryota, Viridiplantae, Streptophyta, Magnoliopsida, Fabales, Fabaceae.
AUAGUAAAAGGUUUUAGGUAGAGUCCAAGUGAUAAAGAGGUGCACAUUUUCAUAUUCUGAAAACCAUUUUAUAAACUCAUCUAUUCUUCAUCUUAUUGUUAUAUUGUUAUUGUUAUUGUUGGGGUCAGAAAAUUUUCACUACUAAUACUAUGACUACAUCAAGGCGUGUAUCAGACAGGAAAGUAGCAAGAUUCGAAAGGAAAUUUAUGAAGAGAGGAUCUGAAAAGAAGGGAUGGGGAUUGAACCUUAUUGGUCCAAUUCUUAUUGGUUUCCUAGUUUUUGUUCUUCUUGGAUUAUGUUUGUUCAUCAUUAGGAGGACAGGUGCUGCAAGUGGUGGGACGGCCUAAAGAAGGAUGAGAAUUGCUGAAGAGUUUAUAUAAUGUCACAAAUAAGUAGUACUUUCGAACUAAAAAAAUGUAGUGUAUAGAAAAUAAAAUACCAUAUAGUUCAAAAUUCAUCACAUUUGUGGUGAUGGAUUGAAAUGAGAAUUUGCUUAAAGUAAUAAAAGAAUAAUGAAUGUUCAAUUUCUUGCA